RNAcentral lists this ribosomal RNA (467 nucleotides) under uncultured bacterium. RNAcentral describes it as "partial 16S ribosomal RNA". It matches the Rfam family "Bacterial small subunit ribosomal RNA", at positions 28 to 506 of the family's 1533-position model. The record is from RNAcentral.
GACGAACGCUGGCGGCGUGCUUAACACAUGCAAGUCGAACGGAAAGGCCCUGCUUUUGUGGGGUGCUCGAGUGGCGAACGGGUGAGUAACACGUGAGUAACCCGCCCUUGACUUUGGGAUAACUUCAGGAAACUGGGGCUAAUACCGGAUAGGAGCUCCUGCUGCAUGGUGGGGGUUGGAAAGUUUCGGCGGUUGGGGAUGGACUCGCGGCUUAUCAGCUUGUUGGUGGGGUAGUGGCUUACCAAGGCUUUGACGGGUAGCCGGCCUGAGAGGGUGACCGGCCACAUUGGGACUGAGAUACGGCCCAGACUCCUACGGGAGGCAGCAGUGGGGAAUAUGGCACAAUGGGCGGAAGCCUGAUGCAGCAACGCCGCGUGCGGGAGGACGGCCUUCGGGUUGUAAACCGCUUUCGCCUGUGACGAAGCGUGAGUGACGGGAAUGGGUAAAGAAGCACCGGCUAACUACGU